CUCUCUGGCGGACAGCCCGCGCCCUGUAAAAGGGACGGCCCGCCCGAGGACCCCUAAACUCUGUUUUUAGUGGAACUUCUGAGUAAAACAAACAAAUAAAUCAAAACUUUCAACAACGGAUCUCUUGGUUCUGGCAUCGAUGAAGAACGCAGCAAAAUGCGAUAAGUAAUGUGAAUUGCAGAAUUCAGUGAAUCAUCGAAUCUUUGAACGCACAUUGCGCCCGCCAGUAUUCUGGCGGGCAUGCCUGUUCGAGCGUCAUUUCAACCCUCAAGCUCAGCUUGGUGUUGGGACUCGCGGUAACCCGCGUUCCCCAAAUCGAUUGGCGGUCACGUCGAGCUUCCAUAGCGUAGUAAUCAUACACCUCGUUACUGGUAAUCGUCGCGGCCACGCCGUAAAACACCCCAACUUCUGA
RNAcentral lists this unclassified non-coding RNA (412 nucleotides) under Fusarium equiseti. Its description in RNAcentral is "sequence contains 18S rRNA gene, ITS1, 5.8S rRNA gene, ITS2". The stretch from base 105 to 258 matches the Rfam family "5.8S ribosomal RNA". Lineage: Eukaryota; Fungi; Ascomycota; Sordariomycetes; Hypocreales; Nectriaceae. The record is from RNAcentral.